AGUGAACGCUGGCGGUAGGCCUAACACAUGCAAGUCGAACGGCAGCACAGUAAGAGCUUGCUCUUACGGGUGGCGAGUGGCGGACGGGUGAGGAAUACAUCGGAAUCUACUUUUUUCGUGGGGGAUAACGUAGGGAAACUUACGCUAAUACCGCAUACGACCUACGGGUGAAAGCAGGGGAUCUUCGGACCUUGCGCGAUUGAAUGAGCCGAUGUCGGAUUAGCUAGUUGGCGGGGUAAAGGCCCACCAAGGCGACGAUCCGUAGCUGGUCUGAGAGGAUGAUCAGCCACACUGGAACUGAGACACGGUCCAGACUCCUACGGGAGGCAGCAGUGGGGAAUAUUGGACAAUGGGCGCAAGCCUGAUCCAGCCAUACCGCGUGAGUGAAGAAGGCCUUCGGGUUGUAAAGCCCUUUUGUUGGGAAAGAAAAGCAGCAGGUUAAUACCCCGCUGUUCUGACGGUACCCAAAGAAUAAGCACCGGCUAACUUCGUG
This 493-nucleotide ribosomal RNA is filed under the name uncultured bacterium. RNAcentral describes it as "partial 16S ribosomal RNA". It matches the Rfam family "Bacterial small subunit ribosomal RNA", at positions 29 to 507 of the family's 1533-position model. The record is from RNAcentral.